GGUCCUGUAGCUCAGAGGCAGAGCGGCCUCCUUAUAAGGGGCAGGUCGAUGGUUCGUAACCAUCCAGGACUACCA
RNAcentral lists this transfer RNA (75 nucleotides) under bacterium. Its description in RNAcentral is "tRNA-Ile". It matches the Rfam family "tRNA". Rfam says of the family: Transfer RNA (tRNA) molecules are approximately 80 nucleotides in length. Their secondary structure includes four short double-helical elements and three loops (D, anti-codon, and T loops). The record is from RNAcentral.